Ziziphus jujuba (common jujube) is the source of this 3679-nucleotide long non-coding RNA. RefSeq lists it as uncharacterized. Lineage: Eukaryota; Viridiplantae; Streptophyta; Magnoliopsida; Rosales; Rhamnaceae. The record is from RefSeq and is a predicted model, not a curated record. The transcript is spliced from 5 exons.
AACGUUUAAAUGCAAGGGCAAAAAUUCUGACGAUUCGAUAUUUUCAAAUUUUGAAAAGUUGGACCGUUGAGAGCUGUGUUCGACUCUGUAAAUGGAUUCCUCUUCGUUCGAUUUUCUAAGGAACCAUAAAAUGUUGUAGACCCUAACCUUUCACAUGGCGAUGGCUGAGGAAAUAGGAAUCGGACUCCACCACCGGAGCUGGUUUGGUUGGAAGCUGAUCUCACCUAUGCCCCUUUCUUAUAAAGAUGAGGCUAAUCAAAGAACCAAAAAGAGAGAGCCGACCCUAAUCGCCACUCAGAGACCGAAGGGAAACCAAACCCUCGAAACUUUCCGUACAGUGUGAAGCAGAGCAAUCCUGUGUCAAUGGCAGCGAAAGAUCAAAGGGAACCCACAUCUUUGAAUAUUCAUGAAUUCUACGAUGAAAUGGAACCGAUGUCCCCUUCUCUCGGAAUGCCCUCUUUCAGCUACUGUACAUCUGAUCUUAUAGAACCUAACUAAUAUUCAGGAUUCAUUGGUGAAGACUAAGGAUGACUGCAUGCAUGCAAGCGCUGAUCAUAUGGUAAGCAAAUCUCCUUCCUAAUUGAACUUUACCGCAUGGAUGUAAAUCAUGAUAGCAGAGUUUGCAGUUCUUGUAUUCUCUCUGCUUCAAAUGUUAUUCGGUUUUUGGCUCCUUUUCUUUUUUAUUGAUAUGCUGAGAUGUUUAGUAGGUUCACAUUGUCUGACCUUUGAGUGAGAUGCUUCAAUACCCAGAUGUAUAAUUUUUGGGACAGAUCUUUUAAACUUACUAUUACUUUCAUUUCAGUGGGGUCAAAAUCCCUUGUUGCUGUAUAAUCAAGUCAUGUUAAAAAAUUCAGCUUCUGAGUAUCUAUUUGUUCUCGAAACUUGUUACAAAGCGCAUUUUGACAACCAUGUCCUAAUGAGAUUGCAAACGUCUAUGAAUGCUUCAAGGCUGCAUACAAAGUAGAAAAGAUGGUUCAGGGCUGUGUAAAUAAGAAAGUUUGUACUGAUAACUCUGUUUGAUAAAAAAAAAAAAAAAAAAGGUAUGAAAGUACGAAAUUACGCUCGGGGAUCGCCCAAGGUUCUCUUCCCUAUUGUGUGGGUUGUGGUGUGCUGUGUGUGUCUCUUUUCUUGUCUCUCAUUUGCUUUCUUUCCCAUUCCAUUUUCUUCUCCCUCCAAUUUCACUCUGUUUGUAUCUCUGCAUUUUGUUUCUGCUUUUCCCUCUCCUCUUUCUCUGCAUCUUUUCUUGCUUGACUUUAUUUCUCUGUUUGGUUUUUUCCUUCCUUUCUCUUUUUUGUUAUCUCUUUACUUGUUCUCAGUGCUUUUUCUUUAUACUUUUUUUUUUAUUUUUUUAUUUUCCCUAGUUUUUUUCUCUCUAUUUUCUUUGUCAAGAACCCCCUACUUUCUUUAUAGUUUUCAAUUCUGUUUCUUUUUUACUUUCUCUUGCUGCAUUUUUUUCGCCCUCACUUUUUGUUUAUUUUUCUCUUAUUAAUUUCUCUAUGCACUUUAUUGCUAGUUUGCUUUCAAAAAUUAUUUAUUCCAUAUGCUAUCGAAAUUUAUUUUUGAUGUUCUUAAAAAUUAAAUAUAGAAAAGGAACUACUAUUGUAAUACAUACAAAAUAAAAAUAAAAACAUUAAAGGAACUAACUAGUAAACAAAUAGGAAAUUAUGAAGACAAGUUAAGAAAACUAUGCAUGUAAUAAAAAUUUAUAACGAAUUUAAAAAAGAAGGAACUAGUAACCAACAUUAAGUAAUUUUUCAAAAAUUAAUGAAUAAACAAGUUAAGAAAAAGUAAAGAAGAGUGAAGAAACUAGCAAGCCUGUAAGCUAGAUGUUAAGAAAGUUAAGAAAAGAAACUGAUAGCUAAAGUAAGAAAUCAAUAAAAUUUGAUAUUUUUAACUAGUAAUUAAAUAUAUGUUUUUAUUAUUUCUUUAAAAAACUUAUAUAUUUAUUUUAUUUUUGAAGGAAAAAUACUUAUAUAUUUAAAAACAUAUUCUAAUUUUAAUAUGACUAAAACUUCUGGUAAAUUCUUUUAUUACACGUAAUAAGUAUUAAGAAAAUAACAUUAGAAAUACUUAAACCUAGUAGAAAUAUUUUAUUCAUGUUAACUCUUAAACUUAAAUAUGAAUAGGAACUGAAAAUUUACCUUUAAAAAACAAUUAUUGGAUAAAUGACUUGCUAGAUUACACUUAAUAAUUGUCAAAAAUAGAGAUGUAAUAGAAUGAAAUAAUAAUAAUAAGAAUAAUAAUGAUAAUCAUAAUAAUAAUAAUACAUGAGAAUACUUAGUGAUAAUUAAUUGAUGUAAUUAAGGACAUAAAGUAGUAUUUCAUAAGAAAGCAUUAGCCAAAUGGAGAAAGCAACUAGAAUAAACAGGCAAAGUAAUUAGAAAAAGAACAUAGUGGAAAAAAUGUAGAGGAAAAGAGUGGAGAUAGAAAGUUUAAAAGAUAAUAAGAGAUUAGAGGUCUAUGAAGGAAGUGGUAGAAGUAUAGCGAAGAUUUAGAGAAGAAAAGGGUGUAAGGUAUAAGAUAAAGUGGAGAGAAAUUUAAAUAAGAUAGAAAUUAAAGUAGUUGAAGUAUAGCGAAGGUUUAGAGAAGAAAAGGGUGGAAGGUAUAAGAUAAAAGGUAUAAGAUAAAGUGGAGAGAAAUCUAAAUAAGAUAGAAAUUAAAGGAGAGAGUGGACAUAAAAUGUAGAUGGAGAAAAUGGUGCAAGGGAGAAAGGAAGGUAGAGUAGAUAAAAGUAGAUAUAGAAUGCAGAAAAGUAAAGUGGAGAAAAAUAGAGAGAACAAUGGGUAGAGAAAGUAAGAAGAUAGAUGAAGAUAGAAGAGAGAUAAAUUAGAAACCUAAAGCAAGGGAGGGGAAUUUUGUUCCUUUUUUUUUUUUAAAUUAAAAAUUAGAAGGCUAAAAAUUUACAUUCAUUGUAAAUUCAAUUGCGAUAAAUAUUGUCUUUUAUUAUUCGUAAGGUGUGGUUCUCGAUCUUUGUUAGAGAUUUAAUUAUUUUCCAUGUGAUAACGGUUUUGUGGCCUCUUUUCCUUUUAUCAAUUUUGGUUGUUGCGCAUGUUCUUCAUGUUUCUAACUCAAGAAUUUUCAAUUAUGAUCUUUGAAGCUAUAUAGAAAAUCUUAGAACUUGUGUUAAACUGAUAUAUUGCAUAUUAAGCUAAAAAUGUAUUCUUGCAUUGCUUGUGGCAGAAGAUAAUGUAGUUUAAUUAUAGUUGUAAGCUUGUGGUUUCCUUUACAAUGUGUAAGAAAGUUCUUCGGCACCUUGACAACAAAAAUUUCACCUCUGAGUUUUAUAUUAAAACAUUUCCAAUUUCAAGCGCUUGAAGUGUGUAUUGAAUGAAAAAGCAUAUCAGCAAGUAAAUAAAAUCAUCAAAAUCGACCACAAUUUCUCAAAUUCAUCCAACUUCAGGGCCAGGAGAGUACAUGUUCAUUUGAACGCAAAGGCUCCCUCAAUUAUGACAGAAGCAAAAGUGUCAGACUUGGAACCAAAUUUUUCUUUUUUCCAUGUCCAUUUGAUUGGAACUGUGGGACCAAGAGUAAGUCACAUUAUAUGGGACCAAGAAUUAUAAAAAUAUAUCCGCAUAUUUGUACCGACUGCUACAUUAAUUUUCAUUUUGUGAAUUGUGAAAGAGAGCAAAAAUAAAUAAAUAAAAGGAAAAGAGAGCAUAAGUGAAUGAACAUUGUUCGU